GACCAGACUACGAUCGCUGCCCGAUCUC
Molecule: small RNA, 28 nt
Filed under: Bombyx mori (domestic silkworm)
Lineage: Eukaryota; Metazoa; Arthropoda; Insecta; Lepidoptera; Bombycidae
Description: ovarian small RNA-15436
Source: RNAcentral